MicroRNA precursor from Gorilla gorilla gorilla (western lowland gorilla), 81 nucleotides. NCBI's taxonomy places the organism in Eukaryota, Metazoa, Chordata, Mammalia, Primates, Hominidae. The record is from Ensembl.
UAUGGGUUCAAAGGGAACUCCAUUGGACAGAAAUUUCUUUUUGAGGAAAUCUUUCCCUGGAGUUUCUUCUUACUUUUUUCC